CCUACGGGCGGCAGCAGUGAGGAAUAUUGGUCAAUGGGCGAGAGCCUGAACCAGCCAAGUAGCGUGAAGGAUGACGGAUCUAUGGGUUGUAAACUUCUUUUAUAUGGGAAUAAAGUGAGGCACGUGUUCCUUUUUGUAUGUACCAUAUGAAUAAGCAUCGGCUAACUCCGUGCCAGCAGCCGCGGUAAUACGGAGGAUGCGAGCGUUAUCCGGAUUUAUUGGGUUUAAAGGGAGCGUAGGUGAUUAAUUAAGUCAGCGGUGAAAGUUUGUGGCUCAACCAUAAAAUUGCCGUUGAAACUGGCUGACUUGAGUACAGUGGAGGUAGGCGGAAUGCGUGGUGUAGCGGUGAAAUGCAUAGAUAUCACGCAGAACUCCGAUUGCGAAGGCAGCUUACGAAACUACAACUGACACUGAAGCUCGAAAGCGUGGGGAUCAAACAGGAUUAGAUACCCCUGUAGUC
Molecule: ribosomal RNA, 460 nt
Filed under: uncultured bacterium
Lineage: Bacteria
Description: partial 16S ribosomal RNA
Rfam family: Bacterial small subunit ribosomal RNA
Source: RNAcentral